GCCCGCCGCCGCUUCUGCGCUCCCCGGCCCAUCGGCCGGUACUGCUGUGGGCCUAGGGGCCAGGGCGUCCCCGCUGCGGCUCGCGUUCCUCUCCUUUCGGCUGCGGCCCGCCGCAGGGUUCGCGCUCCUACCCAUCUUCCUCCGCCUCUGGCUUCAGCUGCUUCCCGGUGCCUGGCGCCCUACCCGUUACAGCCUGCCGCCCUCUCUGUCCUCCCAGGGCUGGGGGUGGUGGGGCGGGGGGUCUCUGAGCAAAGGCAACGAGUGCAGGGUCAUACCCUGAUCCAGUGGCGUGCAAGGCGGAGUCCAUCCCAGCCUCAUUUGAAUUCUCAAAUGAUGGAUUUGAAAAUCACAGGUGUGCACAUGAAACCUAGGCACGCAGAGCCCAUAUAUGUGCCUGUGCCCUUGCAUAAGUCCACACCGACCUCCUGCACUCAUGUGAGCAGGGACUUCCUCCACACGCAGGCACACCCGAGGUGACGUUCACACAUCCCACACGUGCACAUAAACAGUCACAUCUGCAGAAGCCCUCACAGGUACCCAGUCACACAAAGUGCACACAUUCAUGAACCCACACACCUACCCGUGGAUGGAUCCCCAGUACAAACUUCACUGACCAUGCCAGGACUGUGAGCUUCCUGCAGAACAGGUGCUCGGUUUUCAGUCUGAGUGCCUGAUACAGUCUGUGUUGGAUAAUGGCCUGUAUUGGGCAGCGAAUGGGAAGGCUGUUCCAUAAUAUGUGGGUGUCCCCAGGUCAGGGUGUCCCCACCACUGGAUAGUACCGUUCCUUCUCCACUGUCACCCUGCCUGGCCGCACCCUCCCCUGGUUCCUAGACAUUGGGCCCAGAGCACACAGCUUGAGGGGAGCUCAUCUGCAAAGCCCCCUCUUGAACGAUAGGGAUGAGGGGGUCCAAGAGGUCUCAUAGAGAGGGCUCCGUUGCCAUUGGUGGGUCAUUUUCUAGAGCAGUUGAAGUUCAUUCAUUCAUUCGUGGAGAGAAAGUGCAGGGGGGCAGCCCUGGAAGGCACAGGUAGACAUCAUUGUGGCUUCGAGCAUUAAAUUAUUUAUGGGCCGCCAAGACUGGGUGCAAGGCCGGGGAGUGAGCACCUCUUCAGGAGUCCCUGAGGACUUUCUCCUCCCUCGAGGACAGGGAUCGCAUCUAAGAUGUCUCCUGCUGCUCCUGCUUUUACUGCCUUCCUCAGCUGAAUUCACAGCAGGCAGGAAGGGGCAACAUUAGUACUAACAGCAGCGUUGAUCUGCGUACUACCAAGGGUAUCGACAGUGUGGCAUUCAUUUAAAUACUCCUUUAUUAAUUUAGGAUCCCAGUUACUAUUACUGCCAAGGUUAUCCAUCUCAACACACUUUAGUAUGACCCACACCACAUGGCUGGGGCCAGGUUAUUAAUAAUUUCCAUGGUCUUGAUCAUUUAAGCAUUACACGAACAAUUACAAACAGCAAUGGUUACUAUUAUUAGCAGGAUUUCUAUGAUUAAGCCAGAGCCCAAGACUGAGAGGUAGUGCUGAGUGCUGGUAGACAGAGGGCCAUUGAGUAUACAGAGGAGAGAGCACCGUAUGAGGGCCAAGUGAGGAAACAUGUUCACUGGAGGAAGGACUCAAUCUCUUCUUUAUUCGUCCAGCCUGGGUUUACUGAGCACCUACUCUAGGGCACAUACUCUUCUAGCCCCUGGGACUCAGUGGUGAGCAAAGGCAGGAGGCCUCUCAGAGCUGGUGUUCUAGUGUGUUAAUAACUUGUUGAGAGGGGUAUUUUCUAAUGUAACAUCUUGGCUUGGUCAUACUGGAGGUCGUGUAGCUGUGAUCAGGAUGUGUCUUUGCCGGGACGUCUGCGUUACCAUGGCCACAGCCACCUACACCAGAACCAGCACUGCUAGGACCACCAUAAGCAUCACCACCUCCAUCAUCACCACUCCUGUCACCAUCACGGCCACCUAUAGCUACCCCAGCACCACUAUGACCACUGUCACCACACCACCACCAGAGAGAGCAUCACCACCAGAACAACCCCGAUGGCCACCAGGUGACCAUGGUGACCACCGUCAAGCCAUCGCCACUGUGACUAGUGCAUCAUCACCAUCACCGCCACCUGCCCCAGGCAUCUGCACCGUCACAGCUGCAGGGAUUCCUGUUCCCAGCCAGAGCUGGCUGGCCCAUUCCGCUCCUACCCCGCUGUCACCUGCCCCUGCAGGAAGCUGGGCUCCCAAACACAGUGCCCAAGUUCAAGCACAGAGGGGUGAGAGGUGGGCGUGGAGACAAGAAUUUCUGCAGGAGAGAAAGGCUGAGGGAAGGAGGAAAUGCAGGCCUCUCGCCAGCUGCAUCCCAUCUGCCCUGGGCAAUCAGCCAGGCAAGCCUCCCAGGCUUGCCCUGCCCCACAGGACCACAUGCCCAGCAUCUCCCACCUCGGAGCCACCGUGAGAACUGCCUCUCCUCCUUUGACAUCACAGUGGAGUUGGCCUUAGGCUUCCGUCUUCUGGUCUGCACCCUUCAAAGCCAGCUCCUACCUGGUGCUGUCCAGGACCCCAGGAUCUGGUCGAUUCUGACAACCUCGGUGGUAGGGACUUUGCAUCUUGGGGGAUGGUGCCCACUGGGCAGUGCUACCCCCGGAGAUUUCCGGGCCUUGUGGUAAGAAUGCAGAGGGGGUGCAGGGGAACUGGGUGGGCAUCAGGGCACCCAGCCCCCUCGCUGGCUCUGGCGGCCACCCCAGCCUCUCACCUCCUUCCUGAGCACAUCUUCCUCAAGGAGGUUCUUCCCAGCUCAAAACUCCCAUCUUCCCUGUACCCACGGAUUCUGAAGGGUUCGGUCCUCGUUCUUACUUUGUAUCUUGCAUUCAAGGACAAGCAAGAUGUUUUAAAGGAAAACUGAGUAGGGGCUAAACCAUAGCUGGAGCAUUGGGAAGCCCACAACGGGGAAGCUGAGAGAGUCAGCCGUGGGGACCCGUGGACCAUUUAUUUGCUGUGUGGCCUCAGGCCAGUGCCUUCCUUGCUCUGAGCAUUUCCUCAUCUGUAAAAUAGGCCUGAGAUAGGGCCCUCCUAGACUUACUUUGAGGAAUCCAGAAGUACUGGGUGUGAAUGGGCUGGAAAGUUGGAGGAGCCUUCCCGCCUCAGUUAGCCUCCUGUUUGAUGCUAUUAGUGAUGGGGCUUCUGGCCUACAGGCUGCAGACCAGAUGAGGGGUGAGAUGACAUUUCAGCCCUAGACUGGGCCCCAGGAUCCUUCCGGUUGCAGAUAAGAGCCAGAACAGUGCUAGGCCUUGGGCUCCAGCAAAAUUCCCACGGGAAUCCGUGGAGGACGAGACAUCCCAGACCCAAGCUUAUCUGGACUCCAGCGCGUCUGGGAAGUGGGGUCAAGUGCCAUUGUCUGGGUUGGUUUCCAGCAGGCAGGGCGAAGGCCAUGGACGGGAGAGUCUGGAUUAAGCCAUGCUGCCUCCUGCUGUGGGGGAAAACAGUCAGGGGCCAGGGAGGGGGAACUGAAGGAGAAGCCUCGCUUCCCAGUCCCACCCAUCUCGAGGCGGGGGCUGUUCUUCUGGGGGACCCCUGAAACCUGGCUGGAAACGUCAGGGCUGAAGGUGGCGCCCAGCGCCUUCUGCACCGGCCCUGCCAGUGUCACCAACUGUACUUGCCCAAGGACCACCAUCCUAGGGAUGGCGAAGAUGUGGCCCUGGGCUGGGGACACUCUAGUCUGAGGGGGACAGAGUCCUUGCCAGGGAUGCUCCACUACUCUGAGGAGGGACUAGAGUCCUCCGGAACCUGGAGUGGAUCUUCCAGGCACGCCCCUUCUCCCCUCCCCUCUCCUCUCCUGUUCCAGGGCAGAGCCACAGCCCAAGUCCUUGGUCCUUGGAAACCUCAGGCUGCGAGGGGUUCCCCAAAUAGCAGCGUUUUGCACCUGGAGUUCCCAUUACACAUUGUAGGCUGGGAGUUGGAUUCAGAAGUAGAAGGCCGCCCAGACAUUAACUCCAGCUGGGGAAACUGAGGCCCACCAGCACACUGCACAUUCCAGGGCCGGGGGCGGAGUGUGGAGAGGGGUCUAUAAAGCAGCUGCAGCUCAGCAUGGGAAGAAGGCCCUGGGGGAGCAGGUGAUGGGGUUCUCCCUGUGUCAUGGCCCCUGGGGCCUGCUUCUCCACCCUGCCCCCACUCCCUGGGGAGGGCCCAGGCGUUUGCUCAGCCCACGGGUGCCCAGAAGGGCAUGGGGUGGGGCAGCUCGGGAGGAGCUGUGGCCGAGGAAGUGCUGAGUCGGCACUCAGAGCCUCGUCUCCUGCUCCAUUAUUCAUCCCGGAGGGGUCACCCUCCCCCUGCCCACCCAGCCCGGCUCAGAGAUGCCUCCCCACCCGCCCCACCCCAGGGCUCCCCCCUCAGCUGGAAACUCUUAAGCAAAAAGGUCGUCAAGAUGAUUAAAUGCGCACAGAUUUUCAGCUCUUUUCCACUUUAAUUAAAAAUGUGCGCUCUGUUCAGAGGAAGCUGGAGACGGAACAGCAGCUCCCAAAGGCUCCUGGGCUGAAAAGCGAGGGCAAAACACUCCAAGGUGUCUGAGGGCCAGGCUUGGAGUCCUGGGGUCAGGGGCUUGGCCUGGAGCUGCCAGGGAUCCUGCUCACUGUCUCCAAGGAGGGCUGGAGUCUCACACAGAAAAUUCAGGAUGGAGCAGGCCAAGGUCCAACCACAGGUGCCUGGGAGGGGAGCCCUGGGCGUGGGGCAGCAAGGGGGGUUGAGCGGGACCACAAGGACCAGGGGGAGCCAACACAGCACACACCACAGCAGAGAUGAAGUGGGAAGCAGGGUUCAGUCUCUCUGCCCCUCCUCUGUUGGGGGGGGGCGACUCAAGAAGGGACUCUGGUGGAGACGCCUGAGACAUCCACAGGGCCAGGAGGGAAGGGAGAGGUGGGGCUGGCAGGCCUGCAGGAACGACAGGACGGGAGCUGGCCCUGGGACGCAAAUCCCGGUUCCGGUCCGGCUCCAGCCCUGGCAGACCUGGAGUGGAGCUUCCCUCUGAGCGUGGGAGACAGGACAGUGGCGUGUGAAGCUCCUCUCGUGUUCUGGACCGCCUCGGCGCUGCCUCCAGUGGGAAAGGAGGCGGCCCAGGGAUGAGGCUGCCCACCGCUUCCUGUCCCUGUGCCGCUGGGAGUGGGGCCUUGGUCCUCCUCCCUGCCUGGUGAACCGCCAAAAAAGAAUGCAGUUCCCCAUCGCUUCCAGGGAAGGGGCCAAACUCCACAGAGGAGGGGCCUCCAGACCCUUCAGUAUCCAGCCUCGACUCUCUGCAGCUCCCCCUUUUCGCAGUGCUGGGGCCUUGCACAAGGCAGGCAAACGCGCCACCCAUUAGCUGUACCCGCAGCCCCGAGCCUCUUCUUUCUCACCAGCUCCCUGUCCCAGGAGAAUCCCACUAGCAAGGUUGGGGGGACCAGGAGAGAAAGGUGACCAUGCAGCAAGGCCCAGAGCAGGCAGCACCUGAGCUUGGCCUUGAGCAAGGGCAGCGCCCUGAGGAAGGCAGUGAGGACAUUCCCAGACGAGGGGGCACGGAAUCGAGGCACCAAGCAUCCGUGACACGGGUGCCGGGUUUCAAGAUGCUGGGCAGUCAGCUAGGGGCACUGGGGGCUGAGGGGAACAAGUGGGUAGAGAAGGAACUGGCGGACACUUUGGAGGUCAACUCUGAAGGCCCCUGUCCCUACCCUUUGCGGGCACCCAGCUCUGAGUCAAAAGCCUCUGCCUCCCCGAGAGUCCUGGUUCAUGUGGGCUCUCUCCUCUGAGCCUGGUGGCUGUCUGGCCACCUCCAGCCCCUGUCUCCUUGGUUAGUCUGGCCUCUCCCUGGCUGUCUUGACCAAAGGGACAUCCGCGGAUCUCUCGUGUGACUUCUCCCACUGGCCCCAUCCCAUGGGCUACACUGCAAAAUGGCACCCAGACCAGCCUGGCCCUUGCUUCUUCAGGACACUUGCCCAACACAGAAGAGGGCUGCUGGCCCGGUCCUACAUGAGUGGGGGACCCGAGGCAUGGACCCUCAACAGCCCGAGACCCCCGAGGCCCUGUGCCUUUGGCCUCUCUUUCAUUGCUCCACUUUUAGAAGACGCAGGGACCCCGAGGCAGGGAGCAGCCCUAUUUCGACAGAGCCCAAAUGGAGCAGCUCGGGGCGGGGUAGGCAGCAGGGCAGAAAGCAAGUCUCUGUUGGCGGGCACGGCAUUGCCCGGCACUCGCUCUUCCUCCCCAGUGUUAAUUAUCAAAAUUAACCGAACACUAUAAAUAACCCAACUCGGAGACUUGAAGAGCCUCUCUUCUAAUUAAUUCAUUUUCAAUCAAGACAUUUCUAUGCCCCCUACCCUAGAAUCCGAGGGAUGACCAGCAUCCCCCAUCCCCUCCCCCGUGCUCCCUAGCGCUGGAAGCUCAGAGAAAAGAAAGAGCGGAGGAAAAAUCAGUCUGCUUUCUUGGAAGGGGGUGGCCUAUAAAUAACCGCAUAUUGGUGCGCUUGAUGGACGAUAUUGGAGUCUGGAUUGGCUUUGGUUGGGAUGAGGACAGGGGGAGGUGGGGCCAGGGUGGCAGAGACUUCCAUCUGCCACCUCGUUUACUGGGCAAUAAAUUUUAAAGCAAGACUGUGAGUACCGUCCAAGGCCUCGGUGUUGGCUGGAGCUGGGGAGACUGAUCGAUAGAGGAGGAGGAUGGGGAAGGGGGAGAAAGAAAGAGAGAGAGGGAGAGAAAACUGCAAGCUCUCAAAAAUCCGGAGAGCAUGAGAAACCGGAAGAGGGA
Non-coding RNA from Heterocephalus glaber (naked mole-rat), 6728 nucleotides. The record is from RefSeq and is a predicted model, not a curated record. NCBI's taxonomy places the organism in Eukaryota, Metazoa, Chordata, Mammalia, Rodentia, Bathyergidae.